UGAGAUGGUUUGCUAUGGCGCUAUUUGCCUUAUGUGACCCAUGUUUGGCCACAUGCUUAUUGUUGUCUCUCCAAUACAAGUUUGUGUGCACAUCAUGGGCCUUGCUUAUUUAGCCUACUGCUUUUUACUAGCCCGCCUUCCGAUAAGUAAGCUACCUGCUUUUGCAAUUUUCUUACCUUGCACAAUAACUGUUCUUCCUUUUCCUUCUCCCUAUCGUAAUCUUUUCGUUCCUCGCGAUGUCGUAUCUUUGUCUCUCUCCUCUUACUCCGAUAAUCAUUAUCAUUUUUCCGAUUUGAACCUGCUUUGUUAGUUUUUCUUUCUUUUGAUUUUUUACCUAGUUCCUCAUAGGCGACAUCCGCUCUUUCUUUACAUCUCGCUAUGGGUUUCUUUUCGCGAACGUCAACUCCUCUGUCGAUAUCUCCAGUUUUGACUAUGUCGUCCUCUUCUCUUUUCUUACCCAGUGGAGUUUGGAACCUAAUUUUGAAUGUUUGGGACAUACCUUGCUCCGUCGUUAGCGGCCCGAUGAAAUCGAGUGGUAGCUCGUUCACGUCGGGUUCACCAUUGUUGAAAGUUGAGACUCAUAAUGAUUUUAUUUAAUCUUGGUUAUUUUACAAUUCAUCCCCUAAUUUGAUCCUAGCUUUGGAUUUUUAUAGACUCGUUGAUGGUUCCUAUCACGACGUGAUGUCUUUUUCAUAUGGACACUUGGUCGGUUCCUGACAGUUCUUCAUUGGGAGUGAUUAAUAUAAAGUGAUGUUUAUUCCCUAAACACUA
This 771-nucleotide long non-coding RNA is filed under the name Zostera marina. RNAcentral's name for it is "long non-coding RNA (ZMAR_LNC005578)". Lineage: Eukaryota; Viridiplantae; Streptophyta; Magnoliopsida; Alismatales; Zosteraceae. The record is from RNAcentral.